This 514-nucleotide ribosomal RNA is filed under the name uncultured bacterium. RNAcentral describes it as "bacterial SSU rRNA". It matches the Rfam family "Bacterial small subunit ribosomal RNA", at positions 28 to 533 of the family's 1533-position model. The record is from RNAcentral.
GAUGAACGCUAGCGGGAGGCUUAACACAUGCAAGUCGAGGGGCAGCAUAGGGUAGCAAUACUCUGAUGGCGACCGGCAAACGGGUGAGUAACGCGUAUGCAACCUACCCUGUACAGGGGGAUAACCCGGAGAAAUUCGGACUAAUAUCCCGUAAUAAUAUCCGGAGGCAUCUUUGGAUAUUUAAAGUUCCGACGGUACGGGAUGGGCAUGCGUAACAUUAACUGGUUGGUAAGGUAACGGCUUACCAAGGCUAUGAUGUUUAGGGGUCCUGAGAGGGUGGUCCCCCACACUGGUACUGAGACACGGACCAGACUCCUACGGGAGGCAGCAGUGAGGAAUAUUGGUCAAUGGGCGCAAGCCUGAACCCAGCCAUCCCGCGUGCAGGAAGACGGCCCUAUGGGUUGUAAACUGCUUUUCCAGGGAGAGAAACUUACGCACGUGUUGCGUGACUGACGGUACCCUGGGAAUAAGCAUCGGCUAACUCCGUGCCAGCAGCCGCGUAAUCACGAGAGUA